CGGUAAAACCAGCACCUCAAGUGGUCAGGAGGAUUAUUGGGCCUAAAGCAUCCGUAGCCGGCUCUGUAAGUUUUCGGUUAAAUCCAUGUGCUCAACGCAUGGGCUGCCGAAAAUACUGCAUAGCUAGGGAGUGGGAGAGGUAGACGGUACUCGGUAGGAAGGGGUAAAAUCCUUUGAUCUAUCGAUGACCACCUGUGGCGAAGGCGGUCUACCAGAACACGUUCGACGGUGAGGGAUGAAAGCUGGGGGAGCAAACCGGAUUAGAUACCCGGGUAGUCCCAGCUGUAAACGAUGCAGACUCGAUGAUGCAUUGGCAUAUGGCCAGUGCAGUGUCGCAGGGAAGCCGUUAAGUCUGCCGCCUGGGAAGUACGUACGCAAGUAUGAAACUUAAAGGAAUUGGCGGGGGAGCACCACAAGGGGUGAAGCCUGCGGUUCAAUUGGAGUCAACGCCAGAAAUCUUACCCGGAGAGACAGCAGAAUGAAGGUCAAGCUGAAGACUUUACCAGACAAGCUGAGAGGUGGUGCAUGGCCGUCGCCAGCUCGUGUCGUGAGAUGUCCUGUUAAGUCAGGUAACGAGCGAGAUCCUCGCCACUAGUUGCUAUCAUUAUUCUCAGGAAUAGUGGGGCGAAUUAGUGGGACUGCCGUUGUUAAAACGGAGGAAGGAGGGGGCUACGGCAGGUCAGUAUGCCCCGAAACUCUGGGGCCACACGCGGGCUGCAAUGGUAGCGACAAUGAGCUCCAAACUCGAAAGAGAGUGGCAAUCUCUAAACGCUACCACAGUUAUGACUGAGGGCUGUAACUCGCCCUCACGAAUAUGGAAUCCCUAGUAACCGCGUGUCAUUACCGCGCGGUGAAUACGUCCCUGCUCC
Molecule: ribosomal RNA, 869 nt
Filed under: uncultured archaeon
Lineage: Archaea
Description: bacterial SSU rRNA
Rfam family: Archaeal small subunit ribosomal RNA
Source: RNAcentral